GGAUGUGAGGGCGAUCUGGCUGCGACAUCUGUCACCCCAUUGAUCCCCAGGGUUGAUUCGGCUGAUCUGGCUGGCCAGACAGGUGUCCCCUUCUUCCCUCAUGCUCCACGUGCGUCCCUCCCAUGGCUGCGCGUGGAAGAGAACGACCUUCCGUGAUAGACGGAGGACCUUCCUUCGGUCAAGGUUAUAGGAGUAGCUCCUGCUAGAACCUCCAGACCAGAGAUCAAUAUCUAUAUCCAUCCAUCUGGGAAGAACUCCAUCUUUUAGCCACUUUGGAAAAUGACAUGACUCCAGUAAAAAUAGUAAAUG
RNAcentral lists this small nuclear RNA (309 nucleotides) under Echinops telfairi (small Madagascar hedgehog). Its description in RNAcentral is "7SK RNA (ENSETEG00000024633.1)". It matches the Rfam family "7SK RNA". From Rfam's summary of the family: 7SK was discovered as an abundant small nuclear RNA in the mid-70s but a possible function has only recently been suggested. Two independent studies have found that 7SK RNA binds the CDK9/cyclin T complex (known as elongation factor P-TEFb). P-TEFb activates transcription by phosphorylating the C-terminal domain of RNA polymerase II. Lineage: Eukaryota; Metazoa; Chordata; Mammalia; Afrosoricida; Tenrecidae. The record is from RNAcentral.